Molecule: ribosomal RNA, 2530 nt
Filed under: Triticum aestivum (bread wheat)
Lineage: Eukaryota; Viridiplantae; Streptophyta; Magnoliopsida; Poales; Poaceae
Description: partial small subunit ribosomal RNA
Source: RNAcentral
CAUGGCGUGGUGUGUCAAACUAAUGUCAUAUUCUUUGAUUACCUCCAGCGGCAUCGUCGUUGGUGUGAGCCUCAGCCUCCACUGCACAGAAGAGGAAGUAGCGACUCGGACGAGACGCCAGAGAGACGCGACGAGCAGGAGGACACCCGCGAGAGGGCCCGGCGGCUCUGUACGACCGACUCCGGCGCCGCCGAGUCGGCCCGCGAGUCCCGCGUCCCGGAGCCGCCGUGCCGCAUGGCGAAAGGGCGGCCCCUGGAGCGCCUGUUGCCGGCCGAGUUGCUCCUCCGAGCCAGGUUCGGGUACGGCGGCACGGUGCUGUAACACGGGGCACACCGCGGUGUGGAGGAGUUGUAGCAGUUCCUUGUGCCGUUGCAAACGUAGUGGACCAAACCUGGUCAGGAUUCCUACCAGUAUCGUCUCGGUUUCGAUCACUCUCUCUAGGAUAGUCUGUUCAGCCCGGUAAAGCUUUUUAAGUGGUUGUUUGCAGACCCUUUUGACUAUCGGGAACCCGAACGCUCGAUGCUGCCACUCUUUACCCGCUGCGUGUCCUCCUAGAACUUGGGGCGAAAGGUAGAGCUUUUCGAGUUCUCGUACAACGGCCGAAAGAGGUGUACGACGUGGCUCAACUAUUCGUCGACCCUUUCAUUUGAUCGGCCAAGACUACCUAGUGUACUUUAUCUGUAUACCCUCCUAAAGGUCUUGGAGUGGCCUCUGCACUAGAGAGCGUGCAGCAAGCCAUCGUCGAAGUACCUUCCCGCUUCCUAGAAGGUCGAAGUCCGUCUCGUUCGCCUCGCUUAAUAGUUCCGGAAGGUCAUAUACAUGUAGGGUCCGAUGGAGAAAAAAGGUUGGCUUUUGUUGUUCUCCUACUUCGUCUAGUUGGCUCUCUAACUUCCCGAGGACUCUCCGUAGUAGCUCUUCGCCCUCGCGCGCUACCUCUUGCUACCCGAAUCAUCGCCGUUGCUGAACGAACCGAACUACGACGUCAGCUUGUUCCUCUCGCCCCGCAGCUCCUACUCCUACUCGUGGCUCCUACACUAGCUCCUCACGUUCGAGAAGAUGAAGCGCCCCUACCUCUGGUGCAGGCACGACGAGUGGACCUGCGACCAGCAGGACCCGUACGUGGGGCUCACCGUCCUAGCCCGGUCCCUUCUUCAGGAGUCGCAGAAGCCGUUCCUGUUCGGGUUGAAGCUGCCGGAGUCGGCUGAGUUUUGCCACUGCUACUAUGACAUACUUCACGAGUCCAACAUGGGUGGCCGCCAGUGCGACUUGGCCUUCUGUAGGUCUGUCUACGUCUAACCUCCGUAGUGGAUGGGACGGCCGCACGACGACCUCGACGGCUAUUAGUACCAAGUGGUGUUGGGCCUACAUACCCCCUUUCUGCACGACCUCAAGUUCGGCCUCUCCAAACGCCUCCCCUAGAGGUUCCGUUGGUUCCUGGUCGGCCAGAAGAAGGGUAAGCCGACCCCGGGCUCCUAAACGUAGCCGGUCUUGAAGCGCUACGACCUUCGGUUCUACCGCGACUCGUACUAGGAAGUCGCAAAGCUCAAGGUCGAGAGUGGAAGGAUGUGCGUACGCGGCAUGUGCCAGUAGUGUGACGUAGGAGUCGUACCUCGCGUCUAAUAUGAGUUCUCAGAGACUAGCAGUAGAACAGAACGCCGAAACAGCUGGACAGCAGCCCAUUGAACUCGUCGCAUUCUCCUUCGUCCACGUGGUAAGCGCUUGAGCGCCAUCCAAACGGGGAGGCGGUCGGCUACUACGCGUUCCUCCCGCUCCAAUAUACAACCAGAAGGUUGCGCUCCUCCUUGCGGAGGUGAUCGCCGCAGCCGACGAGGAGGAGGUACUGCAGCAACUUCACACGUACGCGGACGAGUUACCACGUCGGCCGUACCUGUUCGAGUCCGCGCCCACAGCCUAGCAACAGUUUACGGAGGAGGUAACAGCUAGGAACAGCGAGUGGAGGUCGCUCGAACGGCCGUUCGAUUGGAGAUAGGAGACGCGUGCUGUCCUGACGGUCAACCGGCGUUCUGAUACUCAUAACCCGAAGUCUAGUCCACGAGAUUGAGAUGUGAACAAUCACGGAAGAGACUACGACUAACCCGACCGACAUCAUUACUAUUUUUUAGUUAUCCUCGUAAAAGUCAUAAAAAACCGAGAUUAGAAUGAAGAAUCUCACGGUCUUUCGUCCGGUGUUAUAGUUCCAGUUCGUGUCUCCAACCUAUGUUUAGAAACCGUUUAUGUUGAUGACUCUAGUAAACCUACCUUAGGAACGAACGUGUUAAACCCUAAUUUGUUGUAGCACACAGGAUACCACACUAUUAGAUCCUCGUUGAAUAAACAGACGAUUAGUAUAGAAAGUACUAUACUCGUUUACGCAGCUCUAAUUAAAAGUGAAGCAUACUCUUUCUCAACGUCUUUUCUUCAACCUCUAUACUAAGUAAAGUAGGUUCUAGUUAACCGUUUGCCCAAGUGUUUUCGGGAAGGACAUUCCGGUAAACUCCUUAAGUUAUUCUUAUAUUUAAAUCGUGUCGAA